RNAcentral lists this ribosomal RNA (207 nucleotides) under uncultured bacterium. RNAcentral describes it as "partial 16S ribosomal RNA". It matches the Rfam family "Bacterial small subunit ribosomal RNA", at positions 568 to 774 of the family's 1533-position model. The record is from RNAcentral.
CGCGUAGGUGGCCUGAUAAGGGUGUGGUGAAAGUCCGGGGCUCAACCCCGGAUCGGCCGUGCCGACUGUUAGGCUAGAGUACUGUAGGGGCAGGCGGAAUUCCGGGUGUAGCGGUGGAAUGCGUAGAGAUCCGGAGGAAGACCGGUGGCGAAGGUGGCCUGCUGGGCAGUUACUGACACUGAGGCGCGACAGCGUGGGGAGCAAACA